Molecule: ribosomal RNA, 1366 nt
Filed under: Nocardia salmonicida
Lineage: Bacteria; Bacillati; Actinomycetota; Actinomycetes; Mycobacteriales; Nocardiaceae
Description: bacterial SSU rRNA
Rfam family: Bacterial small subunit ribosomal RNA
Source: RNAcentral
CAAGUCGAGCGGUAAGGCCCUUCGGGGUACACGAGCGGCGAACGGGUGAGUAACACGUGGGUGAUCUGCCUUGCACUUCGGGAUAAGCCUGGGAAACCGGGUCUAAUACCGGAUAUGACCACGAGAUGCAUGUCUUGUGGUGGAAAGAUUUAUCGGUGCGAGAUGGGCCCGCGGCCUAUCAGCUUGUUGGUGAGGUAACGGCUCACCAAGGCGACGACGGGUAGCCGACCUGAGAGGGUGACCGGCCACACUGGGACUGAGACACGGCCCAGACUCCUACGGGAGGCAGCAGUGGGGAAUAUUGCACAAUGGGCGAAAGCCUGAUGCAGCGACGCCGCGUGCGGGAUGACGGCCUUCGGGUUGUAAACCGCUUUUGACAGGGACGAAGCGCAAGUGACUGUACCUGUAGAAUAAGGACCGGCCAACUACGUGCCAGCAGCCGCGGUAAUACGUAGGGUCCGAGCGUUGUCCGGAAUUACUGGGCGUAAAGAGCUUGUAGGCGGUUCGUCGCGUCGUUUGUGAAAACUUGGGGCUCAACCUUAAGCUUGCAGGCGAUACGGGCGGACUAGAGUACUUCAGGGGAGACUGGAAUUCCUGGUGUAGCGGUGAAAUGCGCAGAUAUCAGGAGGAACACCGGUGGCGAAGGCGGGUCUCUGGGAAGUAACUGACGCUGAGAAGCGAAAGCAUGGGUAGCAAACAGGAUUAGAUACCCUGGUAGUCCAUGCCGUAAACGGUGGGUACUAGGUGUGGGGCUCCUUCCACGGACUCCGUGCCGUAGCUAACGCAUUAAGUACCCCGCCUGGGGAGUACGGCCGCAAGGCUAAAACUCAAAGAAAUUGACGGGGGCCCGCACAAGCGGCGGAGCAUGUGGAUUAAUUCGAUGCAACGCGAAGAACCUUACCUGGGUUUGACAUACACCGGAAACCUGCAGAGAUGUAGGCCCCCUUGUGGUCGGUGUACAGGUGGUGCAUGGCUGUCGUCAGCUCGUGUCGUGAGAUGUUGGGUUAAGUCCCGCAACGAGCGCAACCCUUAUCUUAUGUUGCCAGCGCGUAAUGGCGGGGACUCGUGAGAGACUGCCGGGGUCAACUCGGAGGAAGGUGGGGACGACGUCAAGUCAUCAUGCCCCUUAUGUCCAGGGCUUCACACAUGCUACAAUGGCCGGUACAGAGGGCUGCGAUACCGCGAGGUGGAGCGAAUCCCUUAAAGCCGGUCUCAGUUCGGAUCGGGGUCUGCAACUCGACCCCGUGAAGUUGGAGUCGCUAGUAAUCGCAGAUCAGCAACGCUGCGGUGAAUACGUUCCCGGGCCUUGUACACACCGCCCGUCACGUCAUGAAAGUCGGUAACACCCGAAGCCGGUGGCCUAACC